ACUUCUGUGUAAAUGUUGAAAUCUGUGUUGUCUGUCAGGAGCAGUCAAUCUGAAAACUUUGCUGAAGAGAAUUAUAUUUAGUAACGGGUGACAAAGAGAAGAAGACAUUGAGAUGUCAAUUAUUCUGGGGACAUUUGGCACUGCUUGUAUUACUGAGAGGAGAAGAGUGUUACUGGCUUCCAAGAAUACUUCUAAACAUUCUACAAAUCAAAGGGCUCCUCCCACAAUGAAGAAUGGUCUGGCC
This 244-nucleotide long non-coding RNA is filed under the name Mustela putorius furo (domestic ferret). RNAcentral's name for it is "lncRNA (ENSMPUG00000030054.1)". The record is from RNAcentral. Lineage: Eukaryota; Metazoa; Chordata; Mammalia; Carnivora; Mustelidae.